This 849-nucleotide ribosomal RNA is filed under the name Goeldia sp. 1 HMW-2012. RNAcentral describes it as "SSU rRNA". It matches the Rfam family "Eukaryotic small subunit ribosomal RNA", at positions 936 to 1804 of the family's 1831-position model. Lineage: Eukaryota; Metazoa; Arthropoda; Arachnida; Araneae; Titanoecidae. The record is from RNAcentral.
CGAACUACUGCGAAAGCAUUUGCCAAGAAUGUUUCCAUUAAUCAAGAACGAAAGUUAGAGGUUCGAAGGCGAUCAGAUACCGCCCUAGUUCUAACCAUAAACGAUGCCAGCCAGCGAUCCGGCUGUGUUCCUCAAAUGACACGCCGGGCAGCUUCCGGGAAACCAAAGCUUUUGGGUUCCGGGGGAAGUAUGGUUGCAAAGCUGAAACUUAAAGGAAUUGACGGAGGGGCACCACCAGGCAUGGAGCUUGCGGCUUAAUUUGACUCAACGCGGGGCAACCCACUCGGUCCGGACACAGGAAGGAUUGACAGAUUAAGAGCUCUUUCUUGAUUCUGUGGGUGGUGGUGCAUGGUCGUUCUUAGUUGGUGGAGCGAUUUGUCUGGUUAAUUCCGAUAACGAGCGAGACUCUAGCCUACUAAAUAGACGUUCCGAUCAUCUUCGUCGGACGUUCUUCUUAGAGGGACAAGCGGCGUUUAGCCGCACGAGACAGAGCAAUAACAGGUCUGUGAUGCCCUUAGAUGUCCGGGGCCGCACGCGUGCUACAUUGAAGGAAUCAGCGUGUGCUUUCCCUGUCCGACAGGACUGGGUAACCCGUUGAACCUCCUUCGUGCUGGGGAUAGGGGCUUGUAAUUGUCCCCCUUGAACGAGGAAUGCCCAGUAAGCGCGAGUCAUCAUCUCGCGCUGAUUACGUCCCUGCCCCUUGUACACACCGCCCGUCGCUACUACCGAUGAAUGAUUUAGCGAGGUCUUCGGACUGGCGCUCGGAGCGGCCCUCGGGUCGCGCCGGCGUGCCGGAAAGAUGACCAAACUUGAUCACUUAGAGGAAGUAAAAGUCGUAACAAGGUUUCC